This 74-nucleotide transfer RNA is filed under the name Chloroflexota bacterium. Its description in RNAcentral is "tRNA-Val". It matches the Rfam family "tRNA". Rfam says of the family: Transfer RNA (tRNA) molecules are approximately 80 nucleotides in length. The record is from RNAcentral. RNAcentral also lists the same sequence under 1 other name. Lineage: Bacteria; Bacillati; Chloroflexota.
GGGCAACUAGCUCAGCUGGUUAGAGCGUCUCCUUUACACGGAGAAGGUCGCUGGUUCGAGCCCAGCGUUGCCCA